CUGCCCCGCCUCUUCACUUGCGGUUUCCCUCUCCUUUCACGGAACCACUUACCCUUACACCCCUACCUCCCACAAGGUACCACGCCUGAUCUCUCUGCCGCUGCCUCGCAGGCUCCUCUUUUUCUUUCCACGUCGCCACCGCUACCGCCUAGCGUCCUCCUCAAGAUAGAUUACCCCGCAGCCAUGAGCGCCUCCCUCAAGAAGACGGCACUCCACAGCUUCCAUCUCGCUCAGCAAGCGAAGAUGGAUGCAUUCGCGGGCUAUCACAUGCCCAUUUCCUAUGGCAGGUUUGGUGUGCUGAAGGAGCACUUGUACACUCGCCAGGUCGCCGGCAUAUUUGACGUAUCGCAUGUGGGUCAGUAUGAGGUUCGCGGCGCGGACCGUGAGAAGUUCAUGGAGCACGUCACCCCGGUGGACCUCCAGCGCACCCGGGCCGGACAAGGGGCGCUGACUAUGCUGACGAACGCGCAAGGAGGCAUCAAAGACGACUGCAUCGUGACGAGGAUGGCCGACCAUCUGUUCCUUGUGCUGAACGCUGGGUGUAAGGAGAAGGAUGUGGCGCACAUGGAGCGUGUGCUGCGUGAGGGCGCGAUGAAGGGUGCGGAUGUGCAGCUUGUGCCGCUGGAUCGCUCGCUUAUCGCGCUGCAGGGCCCGCAGGCCGCCGCGAUCCUCUCCGAGUUCAUGGAUGACGUGCCGGACAUGGGCUUCAUGCAGUGCCGCCAGAGGGUGAGCAUCAAGGGCAUGGAGGUGCAGGUGACGCGGUGCGGCUACACGGGCGAGGACGGCUUCGAAAUGUCUGUGUCGAACACGGACAUUGUAGCGUUUGUGGAGCUCCUCAUGUCGAGGAAGGCGGAAAUGAUCGGCCUGGGUGCUCGCGACAGCCUUCGUCUGGAGGCGGGGUUGAACCUGUACGGUCACGAGCUGACCGAGGAUAUCAACCCUGUGGCGGCUCGCUUCAUGUGGGCGAUUUCGAAGCGCCGAAUGGCGGAGGGCGGCUUCAUUGGCUACGAGCCGAUUAAGUACUUCCGGGACAACGCUAGCAAGGGCGCUGUGCCGCGGCUGCGAGUGGGCCUCGUUUCCACUGGUCCGGUUGCUCGUGAGAAGACUGUCAUCGAGGUGGGUGGGAAGCCGGUGGGCGAGGUGACCAGUGGCUGUCCGUCUCCGUGCUUGAAAAAGAACAUCGCCAUCGGCUACCUCGACCGUAAGCUGGCCAAGGAUGGCGCGAAGGUGGACCUGGUUGUGCGGGGCCGCCGCGUGGCUGCUGAGGUGGUCACUCCGCGAUUCGUGCCUACCCGGUACUACCGCAAGCUCCAGUAAAGCGAGACAACGAAAGGCGGACCCCUACCAGGCAAAGUAUCGCAUCAUAACUCAAAGCCAUGGUGAGGUGUGGAGCAAGCGAGCGAGAGAGAGGAGGCACGCACAGACUGUGAUGAAGAACAUGCAGAAGAAGAAAGCACCCUCUAGGUAUAUUUGGUGACGAGCGGUGAAGGCGGUAGGGAGUGCCUGUAAGUGUGUGGGUGGCGCACAUUGGCGCCCUGCCCCCAUACCCGCUUAAUCACCUUCCCCCACCGCUUUUCUCGUUUCGACUGUUCCAGCUUCGUCGCCAUGCUCUACCGCCUCUCUUUCCGUUAUCAUGUGUUUUUAUCUUUUAUUGGAUUUUACUUUUAGCGGACGUGCGUGCUCAUUUACUGUCGUGCGCGGUCUUGCGUCUCCUCUGCCUCUUUCGCUUUUCAUGCGACUCUGCGCUUCAGCGAUUCCCUCGCGGAGCACGUUGGAAGAAGGGUAGACGGAAGGCACGCUUCAAUGGAAGGACGGUGAAACACACACGCCUGUAUCUAGUUGCUGAGGAUCAUGAGUGUAUCAAGUGCACGAAGCAGACAAAGAAAGAGCAUGGCGUCGUGACGCUUCACUCUACCCCGCGUGCAUGCUGUCCUUCUCUCUCAGUGAAACGCCCUGCUCAUUUUUUUUUACUUGCCAUUGGACUGCUCUGCUCUGCUCUCUCACGCUGGAUGACGUCUUGUGGUGUCUUUGCGUUAACGUUGUGCUCUUUUUAAAGUUUGAUGUCUUUAUCCCGCGCGCGCGCUCUCUCUCUGUGUGUGCGUGUGCCCCUUUCCGCCUUUGUGCGCCUCUGUUGUGUCUUAUGUUUUCGUCUCUCGUUCUCGCUACCCUCCCUAACGCGCACCUCACCGAGGCAACAGUCGCUGCCGCGUCUCGUUUUCUCUGUAUUUUUUUUUUUUUUGGGAGGGGGGAGGCUUUCAGUCUUUGUGUCUUGAAUGUGUCUUGCUGCCUCGGCCACACGUUCCACGCUUCAUUCCUUUGAUUUUGUUUUUCAAUUUAGCGACGCAGUGCAUGAUAACUGUGCAACUUUUGUUGUGUCUCUCUUCGUCUGCCAAGACACACGCGCACACGGGAGUGAAGGAAAGAAGAAGAAGCAAACGAAAAGGCAAUGCUGGCAAGCAAGUUUCACCCUCCUCCCUCGCCCUCCCUUCUUCUCCGCCUCCGUCAUCUCCAACCCUCGUCAUGCCUGGCAGUGUCCCCCUCAGCGAGAAGACGAAAGUAAAAAGUCACAGGAAGGGGAUGGCGGUGAUGGGGGACGAAGGAGGUGAGGGAAAGGUGGCGGACUCUGAGGUAACUUGAGACCGUACUCAUGUGCGCCACAAUUGCUUCUCAUUCGCUUCCAAGCGCUCUCUCUCCGCUGCUCACUCUCUCUUCCCCCCACCUCUUCUUCCGUCCCCACUGAACGGCUUAUAUUCGUUCUUCUGGACGUGACUUGUCGGGUGCGUGGUGGGGUGGGGCGAGGGUGGGUGCUGGUGCAG
RNAcentral lists this unclassified non-coding RNA (2816 nucleotides) under Leishmania donovani. RNAcentral's name for it is "gene:LdHU3.36.5340(CDS-product:aminomethyltransfe rase_mitochondrial_putative)". Lineage: Eukaryota; Euglenozoa; Kinetoplastea; Trypanosomatida; Trypanosomatidae. The record is from RNAcentral.